This 429-nucleotide ribosomal RNA is filed under the name Chloroflexota bacterium. Its description in RNAcentral is "Chloroflexi bacterium partial 16S ribosomal RNA". It matches the Rfam family "Bacterial small subunit ribosomal RNA", at positions 355 to 776 of the family's 1533-position model. Lineage: Bacteria; Bacillati; Chloroflexota. The record is from RNAcentral.
UGGGGAAUAUUGCACAAUGGGCGCAAGCCUGAUGCAGCCAUGCCGCGUGUAUGAAGAAGGCCUUCGGGUUGUAAAGUACUUUCAGCGGGGAGGAAGGGAGUAAAGUUAAUACCUUUGCUCAUUGACGUUACCCGCAGAAGAAGCACCGGCUAACUCCGUGCCAGCAGCCGCGGUAAUACGGAGGGUGCAAGCGUUAAUCGGAAUUACUGGGCGUAAAGCGCACGCAGGCGGUUUGUUAAGUCAGAUGUGAAAUCCCCGGGCUCAACCUGGGAACUGCAUCUGAUACUGGCAAGCUUGAGUCUCGUAGAGGGGGGUAGAAUUCCAGGUGUAGCGGUGAAAUGCGUAGAGAUCUGGAGGAAUACCGGCGGCGAAGGCGGCCCCCUGGACGAAGACUGACGCUCAGGUGCGAAAGCGUGGGGAGCAAACAGG